AAUAGAUACCCAGGUAGUCCACCCCGUAAACGUUGGGAACUAGUUGUGGGGACCAUUCCACGGUUUCCGUGACGCAGCUAACGCAUUAAGUUCCCCGCCUGGGGAGUACGGCCGCAAGGCUAAAACUCAAAGGAAUUGACGGGGACCCGCACAAGCGGCGGAGCAUGCGGAUUAAUUCGAUGCAACGCGAAGAACCUUACCAAGGCUUGACAUAUACGAGAACGGGCCAGAAAUGGUCAACUCUUUGGACACUCGUAAACAGGUGGUGCAUGGUUGUCGUCAGCUCGUGUCGUGAGAUGUUGGGUUAAGUCCCGCAACGAGCGCAACCCUCGUUCUAUGUUGCCAGCACGUAAUGGUGGGAACUCAUGGGAUACUGCCGGGGUCAACUCGGAGGAAGGUGGGGAUGACGUCAAAUCAUCAUGCCCCUUAUGUCUUGGGCUUCACGCAUGCUACAAUGGCCGGUACAAAGGGCUGCAAUACCGUAAGGUGGAGCGAAUCCCAAAAAGCCGGUCCCAGUUCGGAUUGAGGUCUGCAACUCGACCUCA
This 545-nucleotide ribosomal RNA is filed under the name uncultured bacterium. Its description in RNAcentral is "bacterial SSU rRNA". It matches the Rfam family "Bacterial small subunit ribosomal RNA", at positions 777 to 1320 of the family's 1533-position model. The record is from RNAcentral.